This 258-nucleotide ribosomal RNA is filed under the name Glomus sp. Its description in RNAcentral is "partial small subunit ribosomal RNA". It matches the Rfam family "Eukaryotic small subunit ribosomal RNA", at positions 624 to 886 of the family's 1831-position model. Lineage: Eukaryota; Fungi; Glomeromycota; Glomeromycetes; Glomerales; Glomeraceae. The record is from RNAcentral.
AAGCUCGUAGUUGAAUUUCGGGGUUAGUAGGUUGGUCAUGCCUCCGGUAUGUACUGAUCUCACUGAUUCCUCCUUCCUUAUGAACCGUAAUGCCAUUAAUUUGGUGUUGCGGGGAAUUUGGACUGUUACUUUGAAAAAAUUAGAGUGUUUAAAGCAGGCUAACGCUUGAAUACAUUAGCAUGGAAUAAUGAAAUAGGACGUUCGAUCUUAUUUUGUUGGUUUCUAAGAUUGACGUAAUGAUUAAUAGGGAUAGUUGGG